This 70-nucleotide transfer RNA is filed under the name Marmota monax (woodchuck). Its description in RNAcentral is "tRNA.Ala". The record is from RNAcentral. Lineage: Eukaryota; Metazoa; Chordata; Mammalia; Rodentia; Sciuridae.
GGGCUGGGGCUCAGUGGUAGAGAGCUUGCCUAGCAUGUGCGAUGAUCUGAGUUCGAUUCUCAGCAUCACA